UACGUAGGGGGCAAGCGUUGUCCGGAAUCAUUGGGCGUAAAGCGCGUGUAGGCGGUCCGGUAAGUCCGCUGUGAAAGUCGGGGGCUCAACCCUCGGAUGCCGGUGGAUACUGUCGGGCUUGAGUACGGAAGAGGCGAGUGGAAUUCCUGGUGUAGCGGUGAAAUGCGCAGAUAUCAGGAGGAACACCAAUUGCGAAGGCAGCUCGCUGGGACGUUACUGACGCUGAGACGCGAAAGCGUGGGGAGCGAACGGG
Molecule: ribosomal RNA, 253 nt
Filed under: uncultured bacterium
Lineage: Bacteria
Description: partial 16S ribosomal RNA
Rfam family: Bacterial small subunit ribosomal RNA
Source: RNAcentral